UACGUAGGGUGCAAACAUUAUCCGGAUUUAUUGGGCGUAAAGAGCUCGUAGGUGGUUUGGAAAGUUGGAUAUGAAAUAUUCCGGCUCAACCGGAAAAACGUAUCCAAAACUACCAUACUUGAGGUGUGCAGGGGCGGAUGGAACUUACGGUGUAGCAGUGAUAUGCGUAGAUAUCGUAAGGAACGCCAAUGGUGAAGACAGUCCGCUGGGCAUCACCUGACACUGAGGAGCGAAAGCGUGGGUAGCGAACGGG
Molecule: ribosomal RNA, 253 nt
Filed under: uncultured bacterium
Lineage: Bacteria
Description: partial 16S ribosomal RNA
Rfam family: Bacterial small subunit ribosomal RNA
Source: RNAcentral